AUUGAACGCUGGCGGCAGGCUUAACACAUGCAAGUCGAGCGAGCGGCUGACGUGUGAGUAAUGUCUUGGAAACUUCCUGAUGGAGGGGGAUAACUACUGUAAACGGUAGCUAAUACCGCAUACCAUCAGAUGUGCCCAGCUGGGAUUAGCUAGUAGGUGGGGUAAUGGCUCACCUAGGCGACGAUCCCUAGCUGGUCUGAGAGGAUGACCCGCCACGCGGGAACUGAGACUCGUGCCAGACUCCUACGGGAGGCAGCAGUGGGGAAUAUUGCACAAUGGGCGCAAGCCUGAUGCAGCCAUGCCGCGUGUGUGAAGAAGGCCUUCGGGUUGUAAAGCACUUUCAGCGAGGAGGCGUUACUCGCAGAAGAAGCACCGGCUAACUCCGUGCCAGCAGCCGCGGUAAUAC
Molecule: ribosomal RNA, 406 nt
Filed under: uncultured bacterium
Lineage: Bacteria
Description: partial 16S ribosomal RNA
Rfam family: Bacterial small subunit ribosomal RNA
Source: RNAcentral